Molecule: ribosomal RNA, 286 nt
Filed under: Escherichia coli
Lineage: Bacteria; Pseudomonadati; Pseudomonadota; Gammaproteobacteria; Enterobacterales; Enterobacteriaceae
Also listed under: 1 other name
Description: partial 16S ribosomal RNA
Rfam family: Bacterial small subunit ribosomal RNA
Source: RNAcentral
AAAUUGAAGAGUUUGAUCAUGGCUCAGAUUGAACGCUGGCGGCAGGCCUAACACAUGCAAGUCGAACGGUAACAGGAAGCAGCUUGCUGCUUCGCUGACGAGUGGCGGACGGGUGAGUAAUGUCUGGGAAACUGCCUGAUGGAGGGGGAUAACUACUGGAAACGGUAGCUAAUACCGCAUAACGUCGCAAGACCAAAGAGGGGGACCUUCGGGCCUCUUGCCAUCGGAUGUGCCCAGAUGGGAUUAGCUAGUAGGUGGGGUAACGGCUCACCUAGGCGACGAUCCC